This 257-nucleotide long non-coding RNA is filed under the name Mytilus galloprovincialis (Mediterranean mussel). Lineage: Eukaryota; Metazoa; Mollusca; Bivalvia; Mytilida; Mytilidae. The record is from RNAcentral.
GUUUUGGUGAUGGUGAUGUGUUUGUACAUCUUACUUUACUGAACAGUCUUGCUGCUAACAAUUAUCUCUAUCUAUAAUGAACUAGUCCCAGUAGUUUCAGUGGAAAAUGUUAAUAAAAAUUUACAAAUUUUAUGAAAAUUGUUAAAAAUUGACUAUAAAGGACAAUAACUCCUUAGGGGGUCAAUUGACCAUUUCGGUCAUAUUGACUUAUUUGUAAAUCUUACUUUGCUAAACAUAAUUGCUGUUUACAGUUUAUC